UGGCUGCCAUUACCUCUAGCAAUUCGCAGUUGUUCUGUUGGUUUGCACUAGGAUGCUGGGGAGAAAGUCCCUAUGCUGUCCAUCUGUCUCUUGGCAGCUCAGAUUGAACUGGGGAGUACAUCU
Cynocephalus volans (Philippine flying lemur) is the source of this 123-nucleotide small nucleolar RNA. RefSeq annotates it as small nucleolar RNA SNORA31. The record is from RefSeq and is a predicted model, not a curated record. Lineage: Eukaryota; Metazoa; Chordata; Mammalia; Dermoptera; Cynocephalidae. The transcript has a single exon.